UACGUAGGGUGCAAGCGUUAAUCGGAAUUACUGGGCGUAAAGCGUGCGCAGGCGGCUUUGCAAGACAGAUGUGAAAUCCCCAGGCUCAACCUGGGAACUGCGCUCGAAACUGUGGGUCUAGAGUGUCGGAGAGGAUGGCGGAAUUCCUGGUGUAGAGGUGAAAUUCGUAGAUAUCAGGAGGAACACCGGUGGCGAAGGCGGCCAUCUGGACGACAACUGACGCUGAGACGCGAAAGCGUGGGGAGCAAACAGG
RNAcentral lists this ribosomal RNA (253 nucleotides) under uncultured bacterium. Its description in RNAcentral is "partial 16S ribosomal RNA". It matches the Rfam family "Bacterial small subunit ribosomal RNA", at positions 524 to 776 of the family's 1533-position model. The record is from RNAcentral.